This is a long non-coding RNA of Equus caballus (horse), 460 nucleotides long. RefSeq annotates it as small nucleolar RNA host gene 4 (non-protein coding). The record is from RefSeq and is marked validated. Lineage: Eukaryota; Metazoa; Chordata; Mammalia; Perissodactyla; Equidae.
CCGGCCGAGCUCCGGACACGUGCGGAGGGGCCAGCUGUGGACUUUGGGCAAAUGCAACCCCAGAAUGACUUGAAAGUAGGGCAUCUUUGGCCCUCCUGAAGAGAGGAAAUUAAAGGCGGACAGUCUGUGUAUGGAGUUUUCAGAUACCUUCACCUAAGUGAGAAACCUGCCUUCAUCAGGACCUCAGAUGUCUGACAGCCCUGUGUGACACCAAGAGAAGUAGUGUAUGUAGUUCUUUUGUCAUGUAGGUUGUAAUUAACUUGCAUCAGAUGGGUGGUGUGAAAUAAUAGAAAAUAUCUGUUGGUCUUUGCUCCCAUUCCUGGCACAGAGCUCCUAAAAACCCUUGUGAUUUCCUAAGUGAUAAUAGCAGUAGGAGCAUCUUUUGUUCUAAGAUUUGGUCUUUGGCUCUGGUUCCUGACACUGAGCUCCUAAAUCCCUUGGAAUUUCCUGGGUGAUAGGA